RNAcentral lists this long non-coding RNA (1234 nucleotides) under Calidris pugnax (ruff). Its description in RNAcentral is "lncRNA (ENSCPUG00000002791.1)". The record is from RNAcentral. Lineage: Eukaryota; Metazoa; Chordata; Aves; Charadriiformes; Scolopacidae.
GGUUGUAUUCACCUUUUAGUCAAUAAUCAGGUCUCCAUAAAGGGCAAUGACAGAUUGUUAGUCAGUACUUACAGAACAGCAACUGCUUGGCUAUGGAGUGGAAGGAAGAGGGACAAGAAGGCACUGCAACUGCACAGAAAUCUUCUGUGCCAGCCACACUAGCAGUCAGCAUAUCUCAGAAAUCAUAAGAACCCACAGUCUGUCCGUCUGUCUGUCUCUCCCUCUGAACUGGAUGGUGUCUAAACAAUGCCCAAGCUAAGAUAGUCUGUUGCCAAUAAGUCCCUGAUAGAUCAUAUUAGUGAGACAAAGUGCCACGUGAGUGGUUGCUUAAUUAGCCAGGCAAAAGAAAUAGAUUCACAGCCACAUGCCUGGAAAAGCAACGCUUGCUUACUUUGACAAAAAUACGGCAGCAAGGUAAACACCAGGGAGAGAAAACUAACAUGCCUUAAGAAUAAUAUUGGCACAACAAAUACCAAUAAGCAGAUUUGGAAAGAAGAAUGAAGCGAAAGAUGAGACAAGCUUUCCAAUAACCUUCAAAUAAAGAAGUAUCCCUAUUCCAGAAGCUCUACUCCUCUCAAGGUGAAGCUUGCUUUAUUUAUAUGUGGGAUUAUAUGAAGCCUGUGACAAUGGCAAAUCGGACAAGAUGCUGGACUAGAAGACCUUUGACUCAAGAAAGGCAUGAGGCUCAGAAUUUUUCUGGUUAGCUUUGCUGGUCAUACUUUUAUGUUUCCAGUCUUGUACAGCAUCAUCAAAGUCACUAUCAGCAUAGAACAUGGUCGGGUUGUUCCUCUUUUGCACAGGUUAAGGUCAGUGAUGUUUUUCACUCUUCACAGAUCUUCUGGGGGAACCUGUAAUGAAAUAACUCAAAAUUUGGGCAUAUAUCUUUAGGUUUGGGACUGCAGUUGCUAUGGCCUUACUUUACACCAAUAGUGUAACACUUAAAAUUAUUUCAUUUUUUAGCUUUUUUCUGAAGAGACUGAUCUUCCAAAACCAUAUGAAUACAACAGGAGUCUGUGACAGAUGUGUUUUGUGACUAUGUAGAAGUUUAGAGCAGUGAAUUCUGACUCUUGUGCGAAGAGACAGUGAAGGAGGCAGCUCUGUGACUGAGAGUUGAGAGUGAUUACACUGUUAGUAUAAUUUUGAAAAUGCUACAUGGAAACUUCAGAAUUUUUUGGCAAAGAACACUUGCUAUGACUGCUGGACCACCUUAAAUAAAUAUCUCUCUUUCUUAACA